AACGAACGCUGGCGGCAUGCCUAACACAUGCAAGUCGAACGAGACCUUCGGGUGUAGUUGCUCACGGGUGCGUAAAGCGGGGGAACGUGCCCUUAUGCUCCGAAUAACUCCCUGACAGGGGUGCUAAUACCGGAUAAUGUCUUCGAACCCAAGAUUUAACGCCUUUGGAUGAGCCCGCGUUGGUUUAGCUAGCUGGUAUGGUAAGAGCCUACCACGGCGAAGAUCCAUAGCUGGUCUGAGAGAAUGAGCAGCCACACUGGGACUGAGACACGGCCCAGACUCCUACGGGAGGGAGGAGUGGGGAAUAUUGGAAAACGGGCGAAAGCAUGAACCAGCAAGGCCGGGUGAGUGAUGAAGGCCUGAGGGUUGUAAAGCUCUUUUAUCCGGGACGAUAAUGACAGUACCGGGAGAAUAAGCACCGGCUAACUCCGUG
RNAcentral lists this ribosomal RNA (433 nucleotides) under uncultured bacterium. Its description in RNAcentral is "partial 16S ribosomal RNA". It matches the Rfam family "Bacterial small subunit ribosomal RNA", at positions 29 to 507 of the family's 1533-position model. The record is from RNAcentral.